UGGGGAAUAUUGGACAAUGGGGGGAACCCUGAUCCAGCCAUGCCGCGUGUGUGAAGAAGGCCUUUUGGUUGUAAAGCACUUUAAGCGAGGAGGAGGCUACUGAGACUAAUACUCUUGGAUAGUGGACGUUACUCGCAGAAUAAGCACCGGCUAACUCUGUCCAGCAGCCGCGGUAAU
This 177-nucleotide ribosomal RNA is filed under the name uncultured Acinetobacter sp. RNAcentral describes it as "partial 16S ribosomal RNA". It matches the Rfam family "Bacterial small subunit ribosomal RNA", at positions 355 to 524 of the family's 1533-position model. Lineage: Bacteria; Pseudomonadati; Pseudomonadota; Gammaproteobacteria; Moraxellales; Moraxellaceae. The record is from RNAcentral.